RNAcentral lists this ribosomal RNA (319 nucleotides) under uncultured eukaryote. RNAcentral describes it as "partial 18S ribosomal RNA". It matches the Rfam family "Eukaryotic small subunit ribosomal RNA", at positions 1470 to 1796 of the family's 1831-position model. The record is from RNAcentral.
CCCUUAGAUGUUCUGGGCAGCACGCGCGCUACAAUGGUCUUCGCAAACGGAUGCAUUCUCGAAGGAGAAUGCCAAUCUUGGAAUCUAUGCCUUGGUCGGGACAGUUGCUUGCAAUUUUUCGACUCGAACCAGGAAUUCCUUGUAAUCGUGAUUCAUCACAUCACGAUGAAUACGUCCCUGCCCCUUGUACACACCGCCCGUCGCUCCUACCGAUCGAAGAGUUAGGUGAAUUGUUUUGAUCGAUAAGAUUUGACUAUGGUCAACUCUCGUUGUGAAAUUCUGUGAAUCUGACUGUUUAGAGGAAGGAAAAGUCGUAACA